This is a non-coding RNA of Pelobates cultripes (western spadefoot toad), 219 nucleotides long. The record is from the annotation of a GenBank genome assembly. NCBI's taxonomy places the organism in Eukaryota, Metazoa, Chordata, Amphibia, Anura, Pelobatidae.
GUCGGUUGAAGUGUGCCGCAACCGACGUAUGCGGUAGGCCUGUAAUAAAGAGGGCAAAAAUAAGCAGUGUCUUUGCCAAAGAAAAUAUUACAUAGAUAAACAUAGUGCAAAGAAAAUACCUCAAGAUGACAGUUUAACAAAAGCCGCCCUAAUUUCUAACACAGGUUGAGGUAUAUACAAAGCAAAUACUGAGGACUUCCAGCGGCCCAAAGACUUGAU